UACGUAGGGUGCAAGCGUUGUCCGGAAUUAUUGGGCGUAAAGAGCUCGUAGGCGGUCUGUUGCGUCGGCUGUGAAAACCCGGGGCUCAACUCUGGGCGUGCGGUCGAUACGGGCAUCACUUGAGUUCGGCAGGGGAGACUGGAAUUCCUGGUGUAGCGGUGAAAUGCGCAGAUAUCAGGAGGAACACCGGUGGCGAAGGCGGGUCUCUGGGCCGAUACUGACGCUGAGGAGCGAAAGCAUGGGUAGCGAACAGG
Molecule: ribosomal RNA, 254 nt
Filed under: uncultured bacterium
Lineage: Bacteria
Description: partial 16S ribosomal RNA
Rfam family: Bacterial small subunit ribosomal RNA
Source: RNAcentral